RNAcentral lists this ribosomal RNA (457 nucleotides) under uncultured Diversispora. RNAcentral's name for it is "SSU rRNA". It matches the Rfam family "Eukaryotic small subunit ribosomal RNA", at positions 569 to 1029 of the family's 1831-position model. Lineage: Eukaryota; Fungi; Glomeromycota; Glomeromycetes; Diversisporales; Diversisporaceae. The record is from RNAcentral.
AGCAGCCGCGGUAAUUCCAGCUCCAAUAGCGUAUAUUAAAGUUGUUGCAGUUAAAAAGCUCGUAGUUGAACUUCGGGGUUUACCCAUUGGUCAGGCUUAAUUGUCUGUACUGGUGAGAUGAAUCUCUACCUUCUGAGGAACUUUCAUGCCAUUUAUUUGGUGUGAUGGGAAAUCAGGACUGUUACUUUGAAAAAUUAGAGUGUUUAAAGCAGGCUAACGUCUGAAUACAUUAGCAUGGAAUAAUGAAAUAGGACGGACUGAUUCUAUUUCGUUGGUUUCUAGGAUCACCGUAAUGAUUAAUAGGGAUAGUUGGGGGCAUUAGUAUUCAAUUGUCAGAGGUGAAAUUCUUGGAUUUAUUGAAGACUAACUACUGCGAAAGCAUUUGCCAAGGAUGUUUUCAUUAAUCAAGAACGAAAGUUAGGGGAUCGAAGACGAUCAGAUACCGUCGUAGUCUUAA